Molecule: ribosomal RNA, 502 nt
Filed under: Arabidopsis thaliana (thale cress)
Lineage: Eukaryota; Viridiplantae; Streptophyta; Magnoliopsida; Brassicales; Brassicaceae
Source: RNAcentral
CGUGGCUAUUGGGCUUUAUAUCACGGGACCCAAAAUUACUUUUUCAAGCAUUGUUUUCGAAUAUUUUUCAUGCAUCAAAGCUCGUUAAGACUAGAUGGGGUAUCCCUACAUGGCGGGUGGGACCCACGGCGAACGGUUCAUCAAGACUUAAAAAAAGAAUAUAUACGAUUGCAUUGCAUAUACUAACGGAUGCGAUCAUACCAGCACUAAUGCACCGGAUCCCAUCAGAACUCCGCAGUUAAGCGUGCUUGGGCGAGAGUAGUAUUAGGAUGGGUGACCUCCCGGGAAGUCCUCGUGUUGCAUCCCUCUUUUUUUUUUUUUUUUUUUUGGUUAAAACUUUAUGACUCUAUAACUUCUAUACCGUGAGGCCAAACUUGGCAUGUGAUACCUUUUCGGAAAGCCCAAAGAGAGCCCUCUGACGAAAGAAGCAAGACAAUGGAACUUUUCCAUUGACUUUUUGUCGACUCCAAAUUUUGACCUUUAACUACUUUUUCGGGAAUCA